Molecule: ribosomal RNA, 509 nt
Filed under: uncultured Lachnospiraceae bacterium
Lineage: Bacteria; Bacillati; Bacillota; Clostridia; Lachnospirales; Lachnospiraceae
Description: partial 16S ribosomal RNA
Source: RNAcentral
CGCGUAGUUAGCCGGGGCUUCUUAGUCAGGUACCGUCAUUAUCUUCCCUGCUGAUAGAGCUUUACAUACCGAAAUACUUCUUCACUCACGCGGCGUCGCUGCAUCAGGGUUUCCCCCAUUGUGCAAUAUUCCCCACUGCUGCCUCCCGUAGGAGUCUGGGCCGUGUCUCAGUCCCAAUGUGGCCGUUCACUCUCUCAAGCCGGCUACUGAUCGUCGCCUUGGUAGGCCGUUACCCCACCAACAAGCUAAUCAGACGCGGGUCCAUCUCACAGCGAUAAAUCUUUGAAAGGAUCGUCAUGCGGCAAUCCCUUGUUAUGCGGUAUUAGCAGCCGUUUCCGGCUGUUGUCCCCCUCUGUGAGGCAGGUUACCCACGCGUUACUCACCCGUCCGCCACUCAGUCCAUCCAUCUUCCCUCCGAAAAGUUCCCGUGGUAGCGCUUCGUUCGACUUGCAUGUGUUAAGCACGCCGCCAGCGUUCAUCCCUGACGUCCCAGGACUACGAAACCUUCC